UCCGAGAUCGUCUAAAGGCAGGACAGCGGCCUUUGAAGCCGUGAAUCAUGGUUCGAAUCCAUGUCUCGGAACCA
RNAcentral lists this transfer RNA (74 nucleotides) under bacterium. RNAcentral's name for it is "tRNA-Gln". It matches the Rfam family "tRNA". From Rfam's summary of the family: Transfer RNA (tRNA) molecules are approximately 80 nucleotides in length. Their secondary structure includes four short double-helical elements and three loops (D, anti-codon, and T loops). Further hydrogen bonds mediate the characteristic L-shaped molecular structure. tRNAs have two regions of fundamental functional importance: the anti-codon, which is responsible for specific mRNA codon recognition, and the 3' end, to which the tRNAs corresponding amino acid is attached (by aminoacyl-tRNA synthetases). tRNAs cope with the degeneracy of the genetic code in two manners: having more than one tRNA (with a specific anti-codon) for a particular amino acid; and 'wobble' base-pairing, i.e. permitting non-standard base-pairing at the 3rd anti-codon position. RNAcentral also lists the same sequence under 1 other name. The record is from RNAcentral.